CUUCAGGUGGUUAUAGCACGAGGGUUCCACCUCUUCCCAUUCCGAACAGAGAAGUUAAGCCUCGUCACGCCGAUGGUACUGCGUAACAGUGGGAGAGUAGGUAGUCGCCGUUUUUA
Molecule: ribosomal RNA, 116 nt
Filed under: Bacteroides ovatus
Lineage: Bacteria; Pseudomonadati; Bacteroidota; Bacteroidia; Bacteroidales; Bacteroidaceae
Source: RNAcentral